Molecule: non-coding RNA, 2243 nt
Filed under: Pongo abelii (Sumatran orangutan)
Lineage: Eukaryota; Metazoa; Chordata; Mammalia; Primates; Hominidae
Source: RNAcentral
ACUGUUGCGACUGGCAUCCGCAUCCGGUAGAUGUAGAUGGAACCAAAGUCCAGAAGUUACGCGUCACCCUUACUCUACAGCCAAACAUGCAGGACUCUAGUAACCCGCGAAAUGAUGGGAUUGCGUUGCAAAUCAUUAAAAGAGUCUUAUAAAAUCCUGGCUGACCUUGACUUCUCCACUGCAACCAUCGAGUUCAUUGCCUCCUGAACCUUGCCAUGGAGGCCUGUGGCACCUGAGCCAGCCAUUAUCAUCACCAGCACUUCCAUGAGCUCCAAGCUGGACCCACUGCAGUCCUCCUGAAACACUGAAAUCAGAGCCUGCACACAGAGCAGCAGAUGCUUCAUGUAAAGGCCAUUUUUAGGCCCUUGACAGGCAUGCAUCUGGGCCAGAUCCAUGGCAAUAACCUUCAGGUUGAGGCUGGAGGGCUUCAGAUGGGCAGCUUUGAAUGACAGGAGCAAGGACCAAGAGGCCGGAAAGGCAGGGUGACUUUUUCAGCAUCUAUAAGAUCAACUUUAGAAAUAUUUUGGGGUUGACAAAUUCCCAUUAAGCUCUGUGGAUCUUGUACAACUGCUGACCACUGGCUUCUCAUCAGCACAUGAUUGGUACAGGGUUCUGAGGAUGAUUUUGAGAUGUUCCCUGAUGUGGUCUUGUGAGGAGAUGUCAUGACAGAUGGCAGGAAUCUUCAUGGAGAGAUUUCUGAAGAGGCUCCUGAGCUCCCAACACCAGGCAACUCUCUUGCAGAGGAUAGUGGGGUGGAGGAUAGAAGAGAGGCAAAGUCAGGUUUGUCCUUCAGAUCCCCUUCAUUUUCCUUUUGCCACUGUAAACCAACUUUUGCUUAGAGUUGGACACCAGUCUUUGGCAGAUGAAAUCCCUUCUGAUUUCAGGCAUUUUGUCAAUUAAGCUGCUCAGCAACAAUAGGAUAAACUGGAUAAACUUGUGAAAAGAAAGGAGUAGCAGUCCCACAGACACAGCAUCCAGCCCCUGCACUGAGACAGUAAAGGGAAGGGACUUGGUCCUGGCAGACAAGACAGGUAAUCAACAUCCCAAUGGGCCUCACACAUGUGGGCAUAUUCUUUUCCAUACCUUCUUGUCUCUUUUAACAAGCUAACCCCAGUCACAGUAGCAGAGAGAGGGUCCAUCCUAACUUAGCUGACCGGGCUGGAUUCCUAAUCAUAAAACCAAAAAAGGAAGAACCUAACCAUUUAUCUCUUUCAGCUAUGUGUUCCAAGGUUACUGAAGCUGGACUCUGGCCUUCCUGAUAAGAGCAUGACCAGAUCCAGCUGGUUUGCUACAAGAUGAACUUCAGUGCUGAGCUUUCACCAAGUUUUUCUCAUUACAAUCUCAUUGUAAUACUAAAAUCUCCACCCAAGAUGGAGGUUAUCUGCCAUUUUCUGUACAUGUGUUACCAGAAAGGGGUCCUGAUCCAGACCCCAAAACAGGGUUCUUGGAUCUCAUGCAACAAGGAGUUCGGGGCGAGUCCACAGAGUAAAGUGAAAGCAAGUUUAUCAAGAAAGCAAAGGAAUAAAGAAUGGCUACUCCAUAGGCAGAGCAGUGGCUUUGGCUGCUCACCUGCUUGUACUUGUUACUUCUUGAGUAUAUGCUAAACAAGGGGUGGAUUACUCCUUGUUUAGCAGUUUUCUGGGAAAGGAGUGGGCAAUUCCAGAACUGAGGGUUCCUCCCCUUUUUAGACCAUAUAGGGUGACUUCGUGAUGUUGCUAUGGCAUUUGUCAACUGUCAUGGCGCUAGUGGGAGUGUCUUUUAGCAUGCUAAUGCUUGAGCAGUGAGGAUGACCCGAGGUCAUUUUUGUUACCAUCUUGGUUUUGGUGGGUUUUGGCUGGUUUUGGCUGGCUUCUUUACCACUUCUUUUUAUCAGCAAGGUCUUUGUGACCUGUACUUAGUGCCGACCUCCUAUCUCAUCCUAUGAGUAAGAAUAUCUAAUCUCUCAGGAAUGCAGCCCAGUAGGUCUCAACCUUAUUUUACCCAGCCCCUAUUCAAGAUGGAGUGACUCUGGUUCAAAUGCCUCUGACACAUGUGCCUCUUGUUUGGGCAUGAGACCUCACUGUGUAGGUGCAGAGGAGACCCUGCCUAAACAUUGCCUACACAUUGCUCCUUUUUCCUGCCUCAACUUCCUUAAAAUGACAAGAGCAGAGCCCUUUUGGGAGCUGACGUCAGGACUCCUUUUCUUCUGUACUCUGCUCCCUUAUGCUGUUAGAGCCACAAGCCUAUUAAACUUUGCCUGAAAU